GGAAUUGUGAUGUCAAAGUCACUAGGGUCCAACCCGAUUGUUCUGUUUCGACUAUACAGACUCUGUGGCAGGUUAACUGUUUUCCAUUUGAGGAGUUACACAUCUCACUUUACUGCAGAAAACCACCCUGCGUUUUAAUUCAGGUUUCCGAGAGAAAACUUUUUAAAAAAUGGUUUGGGGCAUUUGUUAUCUUUCUUUGGUGAAUUUAAAGCGUGCGCAAAUAUUACAUUUAUUGUUCUGUGCUUCUUUGUCUUUGAAAGGUUUUGUGUGUUACAAAUGAGUUGGAUUUCUUUCAAUUUACUGUUGUCUUAAUGUUGGAAAGGUAAAAUACCAUUGUUCCGUUUGCAGAGUUAAUAGAUCACAACUGUCUGUACGUGCCGGUAAACGUACCUCAAACAUAAUGUUUUUAUGUAUUCUGGUAUUUCUUUGAAAGAUCAGUUUGUGGUUCAAGUCACAUUUUUGUUGUGAGUUGGUUUAGAAUAAAAUUUAAGACCAAGAGGUGCCUCAGUUUUGGAAAUGAGAUAUUUACAGUGCGAGCUUCAGAGGGGGAUGGAGUGGAGCAGAUGCUUUCAGAAGGGGUAGAGAUGUUUUAACGUAGAUAUCCUUAAUAAGUAACUUAUGAUAGUAACAGAACUGUUUGUAAAUUGAAUGUUUUUCCUGAGCCAUUAGCAGCCAUGUUAAGCUGCUGUUUAUUAAUUAGUACAGUAUCCAGAAUUAACCCAGUUCUUUUAAUCUGUUUAUAAACAGCUUGGAGAACAUUACAAUUAUUAUAUGCAAUUUUGCCACCUGAAGACUAUUAUAAAGUAGCACCGUAUCAUUUGCUAAUUGCAGCAUAAGUGUACCACGCAUAAAGUCGCGUACCUUAACAACAACCGCAGAGUGAAAACCCAAUUUACUUACAUGCCAGGGUUUAGGACCCAGCCCUGCUCCUCUUGCUCAAAUUCCUGCUGAAGUCACUGGCUGAGGGUGGAUGGCAGAACUCAGACCCAGCUGCCUGCCACAUUAGGGUAGAUUUGUAACCAACAAUUCUCUAAUGGAGAGGGUUCAGAGCCUGGCCCAGUGCUGACUGUUGUUGGUAGGCAGGUAACCUUGUUGAAAUCAAACUAAUUUUAGUGACGAUUCCAGGUUUGGGGUGAUCAAGGGACAAAGGUCUCUUUUCAGAUGUAUCUUGUCAGCCUUUUGUACUUUGUUUUGGUACCAAGCCCUGCUCCUACUGCUCAGCCCCCUUUCUGUUUCACUGUAAACUGAAACACUUGUGUUUAGUUUGCAGUCGGGAGAGUCGAAUGCCAUGUCACUACCUUUACUGUGUAAUGUGGUUUUUUUUCUUCUGAUGCCUGCUUGGCAGUGCCCCCCGGCUUGUCCAACGUGCUCUUGUGUAACACUGCUACUAGCGGGCCGUGAGUCUUCCGUCUGUAAUACCUAGGUGUGCUGCACUGUGCCUUCCUUGAAAUCCCGGUGGAGUCAGUGGGUUUCACACAUGGCUGUAGCUGUCUCUCUCUUGCCUACUGAUGCCAAAUUAGAUGCUGUAAAACCAGUAGAGAUUUUCCAUUCGCCUCUUUGCAAAGUACCCUCCUGCGACUUCCCCCCUUCUCCCCACCUCCUAAGUUCAAGCGUUUUUCUAACUGGAAACCUGAAAAGUGUGCAAAAUCUGUGUAAGUUCCCAUAGCAUCGCCAAGGAUUUUAGCCAUUUUGAACUUUAUUUUUUUAAAUAAGCUGAAAGACAAAGAACACAAUUUUACACAUUUGCUUUCUCUUACGUAGCCUGGAAUCAUACACACUUUUUUUUUUGUUGUUGUUUCUUAAAGCACAAUGUCGGAACUUUUUUUUUCUUUUUUUCUCCUUUUUUUUUUAAGGGUUUGGUCAAGUGGUUUUUGUAAAAUGUAUUUGUCUGUAUAAAGAGAAGAUGAAUUAUAGUUAUUGUUAAUGUACUGACAUUAGUUACAGGUUAGUUUUAAUUCUUAAAUAAUUUGCUUAGCAAAUGCUAUAAAAUGGAUGUUUCAGUUUAAUGUUUAAAAAAGGUACAGAUUUUUACAAGGACAUAAUAUAAAUUAUUGUUCUGUAGAAAAUACCCUGUUAAAUAUUGUAUACGUCCUGCCCUCUGUACACUUUGUAAAAAAGACAAAAGGAAAAAACAAAAUACAUAGAAUCAUAUAGGGAUGUGUGACAUUAUUGUAAUUGUGUACUUGAUAAUAACGUGAAAAAAUAAAAUUCAAAAUAUUUUCCUUU
Strigops habroptila (Kakapo) is the source of this 2226-nucleotide long non-coding RNA. The record is from Ensembl. Lineage: Eukaryota; Metazoa; Chordata; Aves; Psittaciformes; Psittacidae.